This 1275-nucleotide long non-coding RNA is filed under the name Sarcophilus harrisii (Tasmanian devil). Its description in RNAcentral is "lncRNA (ENSSHAG00000032188.1)". The record is from RNAcentral. Lineage: Eukaryota; Metazoa; Chordata; Mammalia; Dasyuromorphia; Dasyuridae.
CUUGUCCAAAGUCAAACAACUAAAGGAGGAAGAAUUAGGAUUCAUUCUCAAAGAUUUUUGCUUCUAAAUUCUGCUUCCUAUUCAUUUUACUGAAAAAAACAAAAAACAAAAAACAAAACCUGGCUAUGGCUAGUCUUUCUGCAAGCCAUGUUAUUUAAUUUUCUGUGUCUAAAGAAUUCCCUCCUCCCUUCUGGGUAAAACUUAAAAUUGAAUCUGUGCCUUAUUCCUUUUCUGUCUUUAGUUUCGAGGGAGUCCUUAUUUCAGUCAUGCUCAGUGACCACUUCAAACAGCUGUUCUACCUAUGAGUUUUAACUAAAGUUGCUUCUGGGGCAGGAAUUGCUUCUCAGCAUGGAGCUUCACAUGUGAGAACUUGAGGAAGAGACAUAUGCUCUGUUGUUAGCUCUUCCCUAACUUUCAGAAGAAACUGGGCACUUCAAGAUGGAAGUCUACUAGAAUAUGAAUUCAUUAUACCAGUUUUCAGAAGACAUGUCUAUCAAUUACUUAAGUGAAGUUACUGAAAUCCUUUGAAAAAUUCUGAAGAUAGAGAUUUUCAAUAUGAAAAAAGAUCUCACUGUUUCUAAGGCCCUUACAUUCUACUGAAAAUAUAUGGCAUAUACAAAGAGUUCUGAGAGGAGACGAGAGCAGAGAUUAAACUACUCCUUCAGAAGUUCAUUGGUUUUGUUGGUUGGAUGUUUUUAAGGUAACCAUGAUUGUUAAGGAAAUGCUUUUUUUCAGCAUAGUAUCUUACAGAAAUUUAUAUGCCUCAUAAAAUAGACUAAAAUUGCUCAUCAAAAUACUUUUGAAUUAGAGAUAUGAGACUUUUGGUACAUUCAUUUAUUCAAUUAUGGAUUAAGCCUUAGAUUUUUAGAGAUACAAAGACAAAAAUCAACAGUCUGUGCCUUCAAGGAUCUUAUACUACUGGGAGCUACAUGUACACAAGUAAAGUAAGUAAAAAAGUAUUAGUAGACAUUAGACUUCUGAUUUCUUUGGAACAUGGAACUUCUUUAUGAAGAAACUUUGACAAUGCAGUUCAACAUCUUCUCUGCAAUGUAAAACCUUAGAGAUUUACCUAGAACAAUGAAAGGUUAAGUAACUUUCAGUCACAGCCAGGAUGUAUUAGAUGCAGGGUAUGAGUUCACAUUUUCUUGAUUUUGUGAAUGGAUUUCUAGACACUAGUGUAUGUAUAGUAUAUAGUAGUAUGCUAUGAUAUAAAAGUCCUAGCUCAUCUUGAUAUGUAAUAUUCAUUUUGUAAAAUAUUUUAUUUUCUCACAUGAG